This 68-nucleotide transfer RNA is filed under the name Amblyjoppa sp. ZJUH_2016002. Its description in RNAcentral is "tRNA-Met". The record is from RNAcentral. Lineage: Eukaryota; Metazoa; Arthropoda; Insecta; Hymenoptera; Ichneumonidae.
AUAUAAAUAAGCUAAAUUUUAAGCUUUUAGGUUCAUACCCUUAAUAUAGACUCAUUAUCUUUUAUAUA